CGGACGGGUGAGUAAUGUCUGGGAAACUGCCCGAUGGAGGGGGAUAACUACUGGAAACGGUAGCUAAUACCGCAUAACGUCGCAAGACCAAAGAGGAGGACCUUAGGGCCUCUUGCCAUCGGAUGUGCCCAGAUGGGAUUAGCUAGUAGGUGGGGUAAUGGCUCACCUAGGCGACGAUCCCUAGCUGGUCUGAGAGGAUGACCAGCCACACUGGAACUGAGACACGGUCCAG
This 232-nucleotide ribosomal RNA is filed under the name uncultured bacterium. RNAcentral describes it as "partial 16S ribosomal RNA". It matches the Rfam family "Bacterial small subunit ribosomal RNA", at positions 99 to 334 of the family's 1533-position model. The record is from RNAcentral.